RNAcentral lists this ribosomal RNA (550 nucleotides) under uncultured bacterium. Its description in RNAcentral is "bacterial SSU rRNA". It matches the Rfam family "Bacterial small subunit ribosomal RNA", at positions 356 to 897 of the family's 1533-position model. The record is from RNAcentral.
AGGGAAUCUUCGGCAAUGGACGGAAGUCUGACCGAGCAACGCCGCGUGAGUGAAGAAGGUUUUCGGAUCGUAAAGCUCUGUUGUAAGAGAAGAACGAGUGUGAGAGUGGAAAGUUCACACUGUGACGGUAUCUUACCAGAAAGGGACGGCUAACUACGUGCCAGCAGCCGCGGUAAUACGUAGGUCCCGAGCGUUGUCCGGAUUUAUUGGGCGUAAAGCGAGCGCAGGCGGUUAGAUAAGUCUGAAGUUAAAGGCUGUGGCUUAACCAUAGUACGCUUUGGAAACUGUUUAACUUGAGUGCAAGAGGGGAGAGUGGAAUUCCAUGUGUAGCGGUGAAAUGCGUAGAUAUAUGGAGGAACACCGGUGGCGAAAGCGGCUCUCUGGCUUGUAACUGACGCUGAGGCUCGAAAGCGUGGGGAGCAAACAGGAUUAGAUACCCUGGUAGUCCACGCCGUAAACGAUGAGUGCUAGGUGUUAGACCCUUUCCGGGGUUUAGUGCCGCAGCUAACGCAUUAAGCACUCCGCCUGGGGAGUACGACCGCAAGGUUGA